AAAGGUCGAACAAGGUACACUUUAGGUACACUUUCUAGAAAGAUACUUUUCAUACCGCCCUCGCUAGCAUAGCUCGAAGAAAUUGGUGGAAUGCAGGAGAUCCAGAAGAUCAUCCGAUUGCACAGUUAUGUUAAAGCUUAAAGCUCAGCUUAGGCAUGCAAUAGGUACAGGCGAAUAGACUUUAUUCAUGUGAAAUCAUUCCCCUGCAUAGUUUCACUUACGGCACACGUAUAUAUAGAUUUUCGUGAUUUUCGCAAUCGCAGAGUGAAUGGUGAAGACACGUGGAGUUACAUAACUUCCAAUUUUUCACUAUUAUCUAAUCAUCCGCUGUUUAUAUGGAUUAAUAAAUCCGAAGAGUGGCGUUAGCUGAACUACCCGAGGGAAAAGUGAAAAUAAAGUGAAAUUCUUGAAAGAAGCAAAGGGAUAGGAGUACUGGAAAAUCUUAAUACAGCCAAGCCGGCCAACCAAUCUACGGUAUCAACUACUAAAACAACCAAGCUGACCGUUUGGGAGUUAGCGCAGUGCACAUCCACGGCGGCAAAGUGAAGGCUGAACCGUUGACGUUGGGCUAGCUCAAUAUCGGAAAUCAUUUACGGCUCGUGAAAGACCAACCACCAUACACCACUGCUGGACGUCCGAAUAUCAGUUUGAACCUGCCGAUCUCGUAAAAAAAAGCCGGAGGACAUAAUCGUCACCAACCUACGAAAACUUACAAAGGAUUGAGUAAUUAGGCUAGCCUAAACCACAUUGCCUCAGAACCACUCUUGCUGUCAGCAGAUUUGUGUUUAUUUUGAUUCCCGUGUUUCUCAAAUUAAAUUUCAAGUGCAAGUUCCCGUUUGCCUUUAUCACUAUCACAUAAAAAUCUAUACGCUGCUGCUCUAAGAACCCGCUGAUUAGAUCCACAUAUUCAUAUCUCGUUUAUCAUUGUGUUGAUUAAUGUAGUAACUAAAUAGCUUCCUCCAAUGAGUAAAUUUGUAACGUAACUGACGAUUUU
Drosophila miranda is the source of this 994-nucleotide long non-coding RNA. RefSeq lists it as uncharacterized. The record is from RefSeq and is a predicted model, not a curated record. The transcript has 2 exons. NCBI's taxonomy places the organism in Eukaryota, Metazoa, Arthropoda, Insecta, Diptera, Drosophilidae.